This 426-nucleotide ribosomal RNA is filed under the name uncultured bacterium. RNAcentral describes it as "partial 16S ribosomal RNA". It matches the Rfam family "Bacterial small subunit ribosomal RNA", at positions 354 to 796 of the family's 1533-position model. The record is from RNAcentral.
GUGAGGAAUUUUCCGCAAUGGGCGAAAGCCUGACGGAGCAAUGCCGCGUGAAGGAUGAAGGCCUAUGGGUUGUAAACUUCUUUUCUCAGAAAAGAAUUAUGACGGUAUCUGAGGAAUAAGCAUCGGCUAACUCUGUGCCAGCAGCCGCGGUAAGACAGAGGAUGCAAGCGUUAUCCGGAAUGAUUGGUCGUAAAGCGUCUGUAGGUUGUUUAAAAAGUAUUCUGUCAAAGAUUAGGGCUUAACCCUAGAUAGGCAGAAUAAACUUUUAAGCUAGAGUUUGGUAGAGGGAGAGGGAAUUCCCGGUGGAGCGGUGAAAUGCGUAGAUAGCGGGAGGAACACCAAAGGCGAAGGCACUCUGCUGGGCCAAUACUAACACUGAGAGACGAAAGCGAGGGGAGCAAAUGGGAUUAGAUACCCGGGUAGUCC